AUGAGGCAACGGGCGUCAAACUCCCUCGUCUUCACCCGAAAACAUGGGCAUCAGAUAUCAUCAGCGGGAAGGUAUGUUCUGCGAAGGAUGCUGAGACUAUUACAACAGCGGCGUAUGCCAUAUGGACCAGCCGAAACAAGGAAAAAAAGGGGAGAUCAACACUUCUCACCAAGCAAAGUUGCCCGAUGGGUAGCAGAGGUGCUACAGGAGGUAUCUAGUGCCACUCAUCCCACUGAUCACCAUGAGAAGAAACUAGUUAAGUGGAACCCUCCUCCUGAAAAUAUUAUAAAGAUAAAUGUAGAUGGAAGUUUUAAUCCUACAACUGGUACUGGGGCUACUGGAUGUGUGGCACGAGAUAGUAUGGGUCGAAUCCUUGCUGCAAGAAGUCGCUGGUAUAAUUCUGUGGCCAAUGCUCUGUCGGUGGAAGCGCUCGCAUAUCGUGAUGGUGUUGAUCUUGCAAAUACUUUGAACUUCCAGGGGUAA
This 483-nucleotide ribosomal RNA is filed under the name Triticum aestivum (bread wheat). RNAcentral describes it as "partial small subunit ribosomal RNA". Lineage: Eukaryota; Viridiplantae; Streptophyta; Magnoliopsida; Poales; Poaceae. The record is from RNAcentral.